GGAAUUGACGGGACCCCGCACAAGCGGUGGAUCAUGUUGUUUAAUUCGACGAUACGCGAAGAACCUUACCAGGUCUUGACAUCCCCUGCAAAGCUAUGGAGACAUAGUGGAGGUUAUCAGGGAGACAGGUGGUGCAUGGUUGUCGUCAGCUCGUGUCGUGAGAUGUUGGGUUAAGUCCCGCAACGAGCGCAACCCUUAUUGCUAGUUACCAUCAUUAAGUUGGGGACUCUAGCGAGACUGCCAGUGAUAAACUGGAGGAAGGUGGGGAUGACGUCAAAUCAUCAUGCCCCUUAUGACCUGGGCUACAAACGUGAUACAAUGGCUGAAACAAAGGGCAGCGAAGGAGCGAUCUGGAGCGAAACCCAAAAAGCAGUCUCAGUUCGGAUUGAAGUCUGCAACUCGACUUCAUGAAGUCGGAAUCGCUAGUAAUCGCGGAUCAGAACGCCGCGGUGAAUACGUUCUCGGGGUUU
Molecule: ribosomal RNA, 470 nt
Filed under: uncultured Acholeplasma sp.
Lineage: Bacteria; Bacillati; Mycoplasmatota; Mollicutes; Acholeplasmatales; Acholeplasmataceae
Description: bacterial SSU rRNA
Rfam family: Bacterial small subunit ribosomal RNA
Source: RNAcentral